Molecule: non-coding RNA, 287 nt
Organism: Camellia sinensis
Lineage: Eukaryota; Viridiplantae; Streptophyta; Magnoliopsida; Ericales; Theaceae
Source: RefSeq, a predicted model, not a curated record
UUCUGGUUUUGAGUUGGUUCAGAAGUAUAUUGGUGGGGGCUCUCGAAUGGUUAGAUAACUUUUUGUUAUGGCCAGGGAGCAUGCUCCAUCAAUCAUCUUUAUGGAUGAAAUCGACAGCAUUGGAUCUGCUUGAAUGGAAUCUGGAUCUGGUAAUGGUGAUAGUGAAGUGCAGGGGACGAUGCUGGAGCUUCUCAAUCAACUGGAUGGAUUUGAGCAUCUAACAAAAUCAAAGUUAUUCUUUCUGAUGCCAAUGUUCUUGGUGAAGGGGAACAUAAAAUUAUGUCGAA